GAUCCUGGCUCAGGAUGAACGCUAGCUACAGGCUUAACACAUGCAAGUCGAGGGGAAACGACAUCGAAAGCUUGCUUUUGAUGGGCGUCGACCGGCGCACGGGUGAGUAACGCGUACCCAACCUGCCCAUCACUUGGGAAUAACCUUGCGAAAGUAAGACUAAUGCCCAAUGAUAUCCCACGAAGGCAUCCGAAUGGGAUUAAAGAUUUAUCGGUGAUGGGUGGGGAUGCGUCUGAUUAGCUUG
Molecule: ribosomal RNA, 244 nt
Filed under: uncultured bacterium
Lineage: Bacteria
Description: partial 16S ribosomal RNA
Rfam family: Bacterial small subunit ribosomal RNA
Source: RNAcentral